This 572-nucleotide long non-coding RNA is filed under the name Bemisia tabaci. RNAcentral describes it as "lncRNA ENSASIAIIG005681". Lineage: Eukaryota; Metazoa; Arthropoda; Insecta; Hemiptera; Aleyrodidae. The record is from RNAcentral.
GCAGGCAUCGGUGAAGGCCUGAUGGAUUUUCAUUUUCGGAGUUUUACACCAGUCUAUACUCUUGCCAUACAGGUACUCUAAUGAUUACCAGCUAUAUACUGAAGAUUUUGAGAUCAUGGGUUUCACAAAAAUGAUAGAUCAAACCCUCAUUUAGAGGUAAAAGUGAAAUCAGAGCUGUCAAGUAAAUCGGCAGAUGGGUUCCAACAGGCAAUCUUGGCGAUUAAUCUGGCAGACAUAUUCACAAUGAAUCCAUCAGAUCCAUUUAACAAGUUCAAAAACUGACCGCAAACAGGUUCUCGCUUCUUAGCACAAUACUCGAGAUGGUUUCACUUACCUAAUAUUUUUCUCUUCCUGUUGGAAGCGUCUUUCAGUCUUUUCAUCUGUACCGCGUGGAAUUCCGCUAGAAUCCAUGAAUCAAACCCAAGCCUUUGAUAAAAAAGUAUUUACCCUUUGUGAACAUUCCUGACACAAUAAACGUUUUUGACUCUGUAUCUGUCUUUCUUCUAUUCUUCUUUUUUCUCUGUAGAACACAGAAUGAAAUCAACUUAUGAUAAAUGACAAAGAUGAAUGAG